CAGAGGGAGCAAGCGUUGUUCGGAAUUACUGGGCGUAAAGGGCGCGUAGGCGGUCUGGCAAGUCCUGUGUGAAAUCCCUCGGCUCAACUGAGGAACUGCACAGGAAACUGCUUGGCUUGAGUUCGGGAGAGGGAAGCGGAAUUCCGGGUGUAGCGGUGAAAUGCGUAGAUAUCCGGAGGAACACCGGUGGCGAAGGCGCCUUCCUGGACCGACACUGACGCUGAGGCGCGAAAGCUAGGGGAGCAAACGGGAUUAGAUACCCCGGUAGUCCUAGCUGUAAACGAUGAGUGCUGGGUGUAGGGGGUAUCAACCCCUCCUGUGCCGAAGCUAACGCAUUAAGCACUCCGCCUGGGGAGUACGGUCGCAAGGCUG
RNAcentral lists this ribosomal RNA (372 nucleotides) under uncultured organism. RNAcentral describes it as "bacterial SSU rRNA". It matches the Rfam family "Bacterial small subunit ribosomal RNA", at positions 526 to 896 of the family's 1533-position model. The record is from RNAcentral.